Molecule: ribosomal RNA, 253 nt
Filed under: uncultured bacterium
Lineage: Bacteria
Description: partial 16S ribosomal RNA
Rfam family: Bacterial small subunit ribosomal RNA
Source: RNAcentral
UACGAAGGGGGCUAGCGUUGUUCGGAAUCACUGGGCGUAAAGCGCACGUAGGCGGGUUGUUAAGUCAGGGGUGAAAUCCUGGAGCUCAACUCCAGAACUGCCUUUGAUACUGGCGAUCUUGAGUCCGGGAGAGGUGAGUGGAACUGCGAGUGUAGAGGUGAAAUUCGUAGAUAUUCGCAAGAACACCAGUGGCGAAGGCGGCUCACUGGCCCGGUACUGACGCUGAGGUGCGAAAGCGUUGGGAGCAAACAGG